CUUCUGAGAAGCAUUAUCUUCAUUCCAGACAGCAUAUUCGGACAUUUAAACAUAUCAACAACUUGCAAGGAUAAGAAAUCAAACAGUAGGGAUUGUAGGUGAAGAGCCCUCUCUUUCACCCCUUUCACCGACACUGUUAUCUGCAAACUUUAAGCUUGCUGAGUGUUCAAUCGGUAUUCUAAUAGAAUGGACAAAAGUUGGAUAAAUAAGUUAAGAUCUAGUACUGAAUAUUUGGAUGGAGUUCGGAAUUUCAUUAAGUUUGCCUUUGAGAAAUCUAAUAUGAACGGGAAGAUUUUAUGUCCAUGUCAAAAAUGUGUAAACAGUUCUGCUCUUGAUCCAAAAAUUGUUGAAGAACAUUUGGUAUGGAAUGGUUUUCUAAAGGGUUAUACUGAAUGGGUACUCCAUGGAGAGUUCAUACCUUCAUGUAACCAACCCUCCGAUCUAGAAGAUACCUUCAAUUUUGGA
Molecule: non-coding RNA, 465 nt
Organism: Phoenix dactylifera (date palm)
Lineage: Eukaryota; Viridiplantae; Streptophyta; Magnoliopsida; Arecales; Arecaceae
Source: RefSeq, a predicted model, not a curated record